Molecule: long non-coding RNA, 456 nt
Filed under: Solanum lycopersicum (tomato)
Lineage: Eukaryota; Viridiplantae; Streptophyta; Magnoliopsida; Solanales; Solanaceae
Description: long non-coding RNA (SLYC_LNC000119)
Source: RNAcentral
UUUGAUUAGUCAAGUAACAGAACAAAAAGUUGGCAUUCUGUAGAUGCUACAUAAUUCAUACAUUCAAUUUAAUUUCCCCUGCUGUUGCAAUCACCUGAUAGAAUUAGGCAUAAGUGUUCCCUUUAGCAAUUCUUUUGAACAAUUCAUACCAUAUAACAGUAAAUUAAAAGACCUUAGAAGUGAAAAAUUAAGAUAUCUGAAGAUAAAAGGCUUCAAAUUUAACACUCCAGGUCAAGAUGAAGUCUCCAAAAUCCCAAAUUAUAAAAUCUAUAAAUUCUGCUAAUAUUGGACAUAUAUAUGAAAUACAAACUCAGACAGAACAAAAAACUCAACUGUUUCAGCUUUCAUCACCAAAGAGGCGGCGAAGACGGGAAGCAAAGGCACCAGUGGGCUCACUAGCAGCUUCAGCAAGUAGACUUUGCUUGAUAUGGUUCAUUCGGUGAACGAGCCCUUCUU